Molecule: ribosomal RNA, 301 nt
Filed under: uncultured bacterium
Lineage: Bacteria
Description: partial 16S ribosomal RNA
Rfam family: Archaeal small subunit ribosomal RNA
Source: RNAcentral
CAGCCGCCGCGGUAAAACCAGCACCUCGAGUGGCCAGGAGGUUUAUUGGGCCUAAAGCAUCCGUAGCCGGUUGCAUAAGUUUUCGGUUAAAUCUAUGCGCUUAACGUAUAGGCCGCCGAAAAUACUGUGCAGCUAGGGAGUGGGAGAGGUACACGGUACUCGAUAGGAAGGGGUAAAAUCCUUUGAUCUAUUGAUGACCACCUGUGGCGAAGGCGGUGUACCAGAACACGUUCGACGGUGAGGGAUGAAAGCUGGGGGAGCAAACCGGAUUAGAUACCCCCGUAGUCCCUGUCUCUUAUAU